Molecule: long non-coding RNA, 360 nt
Organism: Lutra lutra (Eurasian river otter)
Lineage: Eukaryota; Metazoa; Chordata; Mammalia; Carnivora; Mustelidae
Exons: 3
Source: RefSeq, a predicted model, not a curated record
GAGGAGGAAGAUACUACGUUUGCUAUUCAACAAUGAGAAGAAACUGAAUCCAAGAAACAUGCCAUCCAACAACUCCUCAGGCUCUCACAGCUAGUGAAAGAAAUGGCCUUCCUUUUCAAAAGCCAGCCUCCAGGAACACAUGGAAAUGAGGACAUCUGAGCUCAGAGAGAAAGGAACCAUGGAGAACCUUCUGGACACAGCUAUAUGGAGCAGAAAGAUGAUUUUCUUUUAUCUAGAAGAGCUUCAUAUUGGUUGCUUCCUCCUUGGACUCCCAAGCUUCCAAGGUGUACACACUUGGGUUGAUAUUUUAGCCCAUGGUCCCUCCAGUGUACACAUCUCACAUGCUCCCAAGAAUGUGUC